AGGUGACUCGAGUGAGAAGGCGGGUGAUAAAGCCGGGAGUAAUACACGACUUAAAGGGAAGCUCUAAAGUUUCAAAUUAAUGCAUUGGGCGAAGAUCAAGUCCUGCGAAGAACCGAACACAAACCAAGAUAUAUGCUUCCGUUUUGUUAAACUUAAGUAACUUAUGACGAAUUUGGUCUUUUGUUUUAAGACUCUAAUGUAUUAUAAUCAAAGUUUUAAAUAUUUCUAUUUGGGAAA
Molecule: long non-coding RNA, 237 nt
Organism: Helianthus annuus (common sunflower)
Lineage: Eukaryota; Viridiplantae; Streptophyta; Magnoliopsida; Asterales; Asteraceae
Exons: 2
Source: RefSeq, a predicted model, not a curated record